GCCUCCUUAGCUCAGCUGGAUAGAGCAACGCCCUUCUAAGGCGUAGGUCACACGUUCGAAUCGUGUAGGGGGUACCA
This 77-nucleotide transfer RNA is filed under the name Sulfurimonas sediminis. RNAcentral describes it as "Sulfurimonas sp. S2-6 tRNA-Arg". It matches the Rfam family "tRNA". From Rfam's summary of the family: Transfer RNA (tRNA) molecules are approximately 80 nucleotides in length. Their secondary structure includes four short double-helical elements and three loops (D, anti-codon, and T loops). Further hydrogen bonds mediate the characteristic L-shaped molecular structure. tRNAs have two regions of fundamental functional importance: the anti-codon, which is responsible for specific mRNA codon recognition, and the 3' end, to which the tRNAs corresponding amino acid is attached (by aminoacyl-tRNA synthetases). tRNAs cope with the degeneracy of the genetic code in two manners: having more than one tRNA (with a specific anti-codon) for a particular amino acid; and 'wobble' base-pairing, i.e. permitting non-standard base-pairing at the 3rd anti-codon position. The record is from RNAcentral. Lineage: Bacteria; Pseudomonadati; Campylobacterota; Epsilonproteobacteria; Campylobacterales; Sulfurimonadaceae.